RNAcentral lists this unclassified non-coding RNA (282 nucleotides) under Hevea brasiliensis (rubber tree). The record is from RNAcentral. Lineage: Eukaryota; Viridiplantae; Streptophyta; Magnoliopsida; Malpighiales; Euphorbiaceae.
AAAAAUGAUUGAAAUGCGCUGCUAAUUCAGCUCAUGUGAACGAUAGCAAUCCAACACACCACGCCCUGGGAAAUGUCAGUGCUGAAUUCAAAAUCUCUUCCUGUGUAAGAUUAUCCUCGAGUGCAAUGUAAUAGUUGGGUGAUAGAAAAUUUUUGGGUAAAGAAUGAAGUGUUGAUUGUAAAGAAGACAUAUUCUCCUUGUGGGACAGAGAGCAUGUGAGUGAAAGCGACAGUGGGAGAGGGUUAGGGAUUCGAAAAUUGGGGGAAAGGGUUUUUAUCCAUA